UACGUAGGGGGCAAGCGUGGUCGGGAAUCAUUGGGCGUAAAGCGCGGGUAGGCGGCUUGGUAAGUCUGCUCUGAAAGCCCGGGGCUCAACCCUGGGAGGCGGGUGGAUACUGCCGAGCUCGAGUCCGGAAGAGGCGAGUGGAAUUCCUGGUGUAGCGGUGAAAUGCGCAGAUAUCAGGAGGAACACCAAUGGCGAAGGCAGCUCGCUGGGACGGUACUGACGCUGAGACGCGAAAGCGUGGGGAGCAAACAGG
This 253-nucleotide ribosomal RNA is filed under the name uncultured bacterium. Its description in RNAcentral is "partial 16S ribosomal RNA". It matches the Rfam family "Bacterial small subunit ribosomal RNA", at positions 524 to 776 of the family's 1533-position model. The record is from RNAcentral.